RNAcentral lists this ribosomal RNA (411 nucleotides) under bacterium Ellin5042. Its description in RNAcentral is "bacterial SSU rRNA". It matches the Rfam family "Bacterial small subunit ribosomal RNA", at positions 29 to 483 of the family's 1533-position model. The record is from RNAcentral. Lineage: Bacteria; Pseudomonadati; Pseudomonadota; Alphaproteobacteria; Hyphomicrobiales; Nitrobacteraceae.
AGCGAACGCUGGCGGCAGGCUUAACACAUGCAAGUCGAGCGGGCGUAGCAAUACGUCAGCGGCAGACGGGUGAGUAACGCGUGGGAACAUACCUUUUGGUUCGGAACAACACAGGGAAACUUGUGCUAAUACCGGAUAAGCCCUUACGGGGAAAGAUUUAUCGCCGAAAGAUUGGCCCGCGUCUGAUUAGCUAGUUGGUGAGGUAACGGCUCACCAAGGCGACGAUCAGUAGCUGGUCUGAGAGGAUGAUCAGCCACAUUGGGACUGAGACACGGCCCAAACUCCUACGGGAGGCAGCAGUGGGGAAUAUUGGACAAUGGGCGCAAGCCUGAUCCAGCCAUGCCGCGUGAGUGAUGAAGGCCCUAGGGUUGUAAAGCUCUUUUGUGCGGGAAGAUAAUAACGGUACCGCAA